AGGAUGAACGCUGGCGGCGUGCCUAACACAUGCAAGUCGAACGUCCUGUCUCGCAAGAGGCAGGGAGUGGCGGACGGGUGAGUACCACGUGGGUCAUCUACCGUGAGGUGAGGAAUACCGGCGAGAAAUCGCCGACAAGGCCGCAUAGGCUCGAUGCAAGUCGAGCAAAGCUCUUUCGAGAGAGGGAGCGCCACACGAGGAGCCUGCGCCCGAUUAGCUAGCUGGUGGAGUAACGGUUCACCAGGGCGACGAUCGGUAGCUGGUCUGAGAGGACGAUCAGCCACACUGGGAUUGAGAACGGCCCAGACUCCUACGGGGGGCAGCAGUGAGGAAUUUUCGUCAAUGGGGGCAACCCUGAACGAGCAACGCCGCGUGCAGGAAGAAGGUUUCGGAUCGUAAACUGCUUUUCUCGGGGAAGAGAAUGGACGGUACCCGAGGAAUCAGCCCGGCUAACUACGUGCCAGCAGCCGC
RNAcentral lists this ribosomal RNA (471 nucleotides) under uncultured bacterium. RNAcentral describes it as "SSU rRNA". It matches the Rfam family "Bacterial small subunit ribosomal RNA", at positions 26 to 518 of the family's 1533-position model. The record is from RNAcentral.